CUUCAUCAAGCGAAAAUAGGUUUUACUUAACUGUAGAUUAAAAGGGAAUCGUGUGAGAAUCACGAGCUGUCGCGCAACUGUAAGUAACAUUGAAUAUACUAGUCAUAUUAUGCUCACUGAUAUAAAAUCGGGAAGGGCGAUUAGUGUAGUUAUAAGUCAGGAGACCUGCCAUUUUUGAAUUGACAAU
This 187-nucleotide non-coding RNA is filed under the name Myroides profundi. Lineage: Bacteria; Pseudomonadati; Bacteroidota; Flavobacteriia; Flavobacteriales; Flavobacteriaceae. The record is from RNAcentral.